AAACCCUGAAAAAGAAACCCAGAAGCCGAAAUGGGUCGUGUAAUCCGUGCCCAACGUAAGGGUGCAGGCUCCGUUUUCAAAUCCCACACCCACCACCGCAAAGGCCCCGCCCGGUUCCGGUCCCUAGACUUCGGCGAGCGCAAUGGGUACCUAAAAGGAGUGGUGACCGACAUCAUCCAUGAUCCGGGUCGUGGAGCUCCGCUUGCAAAGGUAACAUUUAGGCAUCCAUUUAGGUACAAGCACCAGAAAGAGCUGUUUGUUGCAGCAGAAGGGA
RNAcentral lists this long non-coding RNA (274 nucleotides) under Ricinus communis (castor bean). Its description in RNAcentral is "long non-coding RNA (RCOM_LNC000600)". Lineage: Eukaryota; Viridiplantae; Streptophyta; Magnoliopsida; Malpighiales; Euphorbiaceae. The record is from RNAcentral.